Molecule: long non-coding RNA, 763 nt
Filed under: Felis catus (domestic cat)
Lineage: Eukaryota; Metazoa; Chordata; Mammalia; Carnivora; Felidae
Description: lncRNA (ENSFCAG00000051510.1)
Source: RNAcentral
CCAAGUUUCAGAACUAAUCCUCAUAAGAGUUAAUUAAGACUUCCUAGGGGAUUAACAUCUGAGGCUUUUUUGGAGGAUUAAUUAUCAUUUGGUGUUAAUGAUGCAGCCAAACUCUCAGGAGAAGUUGUAAUCUCUGAACUCAGGCCCUGCUUCCUGCCUCAGUCCCAGCUUCGCUGACCUGCUGGUCCUCCCGUGGCCACGAAGGACAAUGGGUGUCUGAAGCCACGCUGGGGAGUGCUCCUUGUCUCCAUCCUAUUAUGGCUGCAGCUUCCCUGGACCAUGAGCUCUGAGUAUGGAAGGGAUGGAAGAGACAGGUGGUACAGUUAGGACAUCAGCAGAAAACGUAUUCUCCAUUCGAGGCCAGAAUGUGGCAUUAAAUGCGUCUGAUUUUCAGAUGGCCGAGGAGGAGUCAGGGGCCCCUUCCAGGGCAGAGAAGAAGGGAGAGGAUGCUAAACCUUCACCAUCCUCUUUCCUCAUAGAACCUCAGCCUUCUCUACAGUGUCAUCGAAGCUUCGUCGUCCCUGUGGCUCUGACACUUUGUGAGAAGUCACUUGGGGGGUCUAUGGACCUAAUCUCGGAAAGACAGUUUGGCUUUCUGAGCCAAUGUGAACAAAUAUGGCCCCAGCGCGUCAUGUCUCCCGGAAGGAGAUUUGGGGACCCGGGCGAUGGGCUCACAAGUACCUUUUCUCUGUCUUUGCUUCCACGUCCUUUCCUGGAGGCAAUGGAUGCCAUAUGUUGGAGCCGCUCAGAAGAUCUCUCUUGA